RNAcentral lists this transfer RNA (92 nucleotides) under Quinella sp. 1Q5. Its description in RNAcentral is "tRNA-Ser". It matches the Rfam family "tRNA". Rfam says of the family: Transfer RNA (tRNA) molecules are approximately 80 nucleotides in length. The record is from RNAcentral. Lineage: Bacteria; Bacillati; Bacillota; Negativicutes; Veillonellales; Veillonellaceae.
GGAGAGUUGUCCGAGAGGCUUAAGGAGCACGACUGGAAAUCGUGUGUUACGUUGAUAGCGUACCGAGGGUUCAAAUCCCUCACUCUCCGCCA